RNAcentral lists this ribosomal RNA (514 nucleotides) under uncultured bacterium. Its description in RNAcentral is "partial 16S ribosomal RNA". It matches the Rfam family "Bacterial small subunit ribosomal RNA", at positions 28 to 523 of the family's 1533-position model. The record is from RNAcentral.
GAUGAACGCUGGCGGCGUGCCUAAUACAUGCAAGUCGAGCGAACAGAUGAGAAGCUUGCUUCUCUGAUGUUAGCGGCGGACGGGUGAGUAACACGUGGGUAACCUACCUAUAAGACUGGGAUAACUCCGGGAAACCGGGGCUAAUACCGGAUACUAUUUUGAACCGCAUGGUUCAAUAGUGUAAGACGGUUUCAGCUGUCACUUGUACCUGGACCCGCGCCGUAUUAGCUAGUUGGUAAGGUAACGGCUUACCAAGGCGACGAUACGUAGCCGACCUGAGAGGGGGAUCGGCCACACUGGAACUGAGACACGGACCAGACUCCUACGGGAGGCAGCAGUAGGGAAUCUUCCGCAAUGGGCGAAAGCCUGACGGAGCAACGCCGCGUGAGUGAGGAAGGUCUUCGGAUUGUAAAACUCUGUUGUUAGGGAAGAACAAAUUUGUUAGUAACUGAACAAGUCUUGACGGUACCUAACCAGAAAGCCACGGCUAACUACGUGCCAGCAGCCGCCGUAA